This 190-nucleotide ribosomal RNA is filed under the name uncultured Glomeromycotina. Its description in RNAcentral is "partial 18S ribosomal RNA". It matches the Rfam family "Eukaryotic small subunit ribosomal RNA", at positions 892 to 1078 of the family's 1831-position model. The record is from RNAcentral. Lineage: Eukaryota; Fungi; Glomeromycota.
UAGUAUUCAAUUGUCAGAGAUGAAAUUCUUGGAUUUAUUGAAGACUGACUUCUGCGAAAGCAUUUGCCAAGGAUGUUUUCAUUAAUCAAGAACGAAAGUUAGGGGAUCGAAGACGAUCAGAUACCGUCGUAGUCUUAACCAUAAACUAUGCCGACUAGGGAUCGGACGAUGUUAAUUUUUUAAUGACUCA